CCUGCCCUGAGAACAGUCUUGAUUUCCACUAAUGCGAUGCUCGGCGCCAAACGGUCUGUGAGGGAAGACGCAUGAGAAAAUAAGCUUUCUGUUCUACUCGAGCUAUUUUAUUAGUCAUUUUCUUGGAAAAGUCACCUAAAUAUUUUUGAGCAGCUGCUAGUAACAUCCAAAGGUCAUACGGCCUUGUCCUCUGCCCUUCAUAUGAGACCUGACACUGGACGAACCUCUCGUCUGUUCCCUCUCCCCUCCAGAGAGCAAGGCGCUGACUUUCUGACUGCCGUGUUCAUUGAAGGCCUGGCACUGGUAGAGAGCAGAGUCUGCUAGCAGGGCAGAGGAGAGGGUGAAGGAGGUGG
Salmo salar (Atlantic salmon) is the source of this 353-nucleotide non-coding RNA. NCBI's taxonomy places the organism in Eukaryota, Metazoa, Chordata, Actinopteri, Salmoniformes, Salmonidae. The record is from RefSeq and is a predicted model, not a curated record.